UUUAAUGAAGAGUUUGAUCCUGGCUCAGGACGAACGCUGGCGGCGCGCCUAACACAUGCAAGUCGAGCGGAACUAUUUCUUCUGAAGUUUUCGGAUUGACGAAGAUUUAGUUUAGCGGCGAACGGGUGAGUAACACGUGAGUAACCUGCCUUUCACAGGGGGACAACAGUUAGAAAUGACUGCUAAUACCGCAUAAGACCACGCUAUGGCAUCAUAGAGAGGUCAAAGGAGCAAUCCGGUGAAAGAUGGGCUCGCGUCCGAUUAGCUAGUUGGUGAGGUAAUGGCUCACCAAGGCAACGAUCGGUAGCCGGACUGAGAGGUUGAACGGCCACAUUGGGACUGAGACACGGCCCAGACUCCUACGGGAGGCAGCAGUGGGGAAUAUUGCACAAUGGGGGAAACCCUGAUGCAGCGACGCCGCGUGAAGGAAGAAGGUCUUCGGAUUGUAAACUUCUGUCUUUGGGGACGAUAAUGACGGUACCCAAGGAGGAAGCACCGGCUAACUACGUGCCAGCAGCCGCGGUAAAACGUAGGGUGCAAGCGUUGUCCGGAAUUACUGGGUGUAAAGGGAGCGCAGGCGGAAAGGUAAGUUGGGAGUGAAAACUAUGGGCUCAACCCAUAGAUUGCUUUCAAAACUAUCUUUCUUGAGUAGUGUAGAGGUAGGCGGAAUUCCCGGUGUAGCGGUGGAAUGCGUAGAUAUCGGGAGGAACACCAGUGGCGAAGGCGGCCUACUGGGCACUAACUGACGCUGAGGCUCGAAAGCAUGGGUAGCAAACAGGAUUAGAUACCCUGGUAGUCCAUGCCGUAAACGAUGAUUACUAGGUGUGGGAGGAUUGACCCCUUCCGUGCCGCAGUUAACACAAUAAGUAAUCCACCUGGGGAGUACGACCGCAAGGUU
Molecule: ribosomal RNA, 898 nt
Filed under: Clostridia bacterium
Lineage: Bacteria; Bacillati; Bacillota; Clostridia
Description: bacterial SSU rRNA
Rfam family: Bacterial small subunit ribosomal RNA
Source: RNAcentral